Molecule: ribosomal RNA, 2783 nt
Filed under: Sporobolomyces sp.
Lineage: Eukaryota; Fungi; Basidiomycota; Microbotryomycetes; Sporidiobolales; Sporidiobolaceae
Description: large subunit ribosomal RNA
Rfam family: Bacterial large subunit ribosomal RNA
Source: RNAcentral
AUGUGGAAUAUAUCAUCAAGUGACUAAAGGGAUUGUUAGGGAUGCCUAGCAAACAUAUCAGAAAAGAAGUGGAAACACUAAAGGCAUUAGUAUUUUAUGACUAGUGCGAUCUUAAGGGAAACCAUAAACCUAAGUUGGUCGACGCCAAUAAAGGUGAUUAAUACUACGGACUGAACCGAAACAUCGUAGUAAGUCUAGGAAAGGAAAUCAACCGAGACCCUGUCAGUAGCGGCGAGCGAACGCAGGAUAGCCUAGUAAUAAAGUGAGUGAAUCUAAUACUCUGGAAUGGGUACUACCAUAGAAGGUAAUAGUCCUGUGGAUAUUACUACUUAUUACAUCUAGCUUGUAUUUAAAUGUAUACAAGUGAGUAGAGCGGCAUUAAACCUGCUCGAAUACGGGGGUACCAUCCUCCAAGGCUAAGUAUGAUAUGUUUAGCGAUAGUGAAGAGUACUGUGAAGGAAAGGUGAUAAGCAAGUCGAUGACUGGUGAAAUAGAGCCUGAACUAGCAAUCCUACAAGCAGACAGAGUAUUUAGUUAUGAUGUCGUACCUUUUGCAUAAUGGGUCAGCAACUUAAUACUGUAGGCAAGAUUUAUAAGUCCAAGCGAAAGCGACUAUUUUAGGUAACUAGAAUGGGGUAAGUCUGCAUUAUUAGACCCGAAACGACGUGAUCUAGCCAUGGACAGGAUUAUAGGUCCGAACAGAUGUACGUUGCAUAGUGCUCUGAUGAUCUGUGGUUAGGAGUGAAAUGGUAAUCUAACGUCGUGAUAGCUGGUUCUCUGCGAAAUGCAUUGCAGUGCAGCGUCAAUAUAAAGCUUAUAGUAGGUACAGCACUGAUUGACAUGCCCGCUACUUCUAGCAAUAGAACGUAAACGGCCGACUAGGGGGGUGUGAAAGCCCUAUCUAGGUCAGUUAACCUCGGAAUGAUUAUAAGUAUUCAUUGGCAGUGAGUCGUAGGGUGAUAAGGUCUUAUGACGAGAGGGAUACAGCCCAAACAAUGUGUUAAAGUCCCUAAGAUAUUGACAAGUGAAAUUAAGGAAGUGUGUGACCUGAUACAGCCAUGAUGUGGGAUUGGAAGCGUCCAUCAUUUAAAGAAAGCGUAACAGCUCAGUGGUCUAGGUCGCAUGCGCCGAAGAUAUACCGGGUCUUAAUCAAUACACUAAUACCAUUGUAUAAGUCCAACUAUGCUACUCUAAGCAGAAGUUGGAUUUAAUAAGUAGCAGAGCGUCCAGUACUUAUGAAGAGCAGUAUUUUAUUGUUUGGAGGUAACUGGAGUGAGGAUGCUGGCAUGAGUAGCAUAAAUGAAUGUUAAAUCAUUCACACCGAAAGAGAAAGGUUUCUGAGGGCAAGUUAGACUUCCUAAGGUUAUCAUUCCAUCUAGACUUCUAGAUGGUUUGGCGGUAUCUAAGGGAUUAGCCAAUGCGACAUCUCGAUGAUUAUAUUGCAAAACGGCCUAGCAAUAGGUCCAGGAAAAAAUGCAAUCUAGCUACCGUACCUUAAACCGACACAGGUUCUCGGGUAGACUAUACUAAGGUGACGGAAUAAUCAAAUUUAAGGAACUCGGCAAAAUGAUCUCGUACGUUCGACAAGAAGAGAUGCCCUCUAUAUAUUUUUAUAGCUGGGUGGCACAGAAUCGGGGGGUGCGACUGUUUACCUAAAACACAGCAGCCUGCUAACACUAACAGUGGUCGUAUAGGUUGUGAUUCCUGUCCGGUGUCUCGUGAUAUAGUGAUUGAAGUUGUAUUUUUCUAGUGAUAGGCGAUAUGAGUUCGAAGCUUGAAGACGAGAUAAACGACGGUCUUAACUAUAAGGAUCCUAAGGUAGCGAAAUUCCUUGGCCGCUAAUUACGGUCCUGCAUGAAAGGAACAGCGAUGCCCCCACUGUCUUAAAUUUGAGUCCGGUGAAAUUGAACUAGCCGUGCAGAUGCGGUUUACCACCAGUUAGACGGGAAGACCCUAUGCAACUUUACUAUAGUCAGAUAUUGUGUCAAUCUAACAUUUGUCACAGGCAUGAGGUAGUUUGGGUUUACUCAGACGUAAGUGAGAGACCUCAACAAAUCUUAGAUGCACUAACCUGUACAUUUACAGGGAAAGUGUCUGAUGGGUAGUUUUACUGGGACGGUACCCUCCAAGAAGGCAUCGGAGGGGUCCAAUAGGUACACAUAGCUUAGACGGGGACUAAGUGAUCAUGUAAGAUCAAAAUCAGCAUAAUGGCAAAAGUGUGCUAAAAUGUAAGACUGACAGGUCGAUCAGGUACGUAAGUAGGGCAUAGUGAACCGAUAGUAUAUUAUGGUAUAGCUAUCGUUCAACGGAUAAGUUACGCUAGGGAUAACAGGCUAAUAGCGCGAAAGAGUUCAUAUCGUAAGCGCUGUUUGGCACCUCGAUGUCGACUCAUCACAUCCUCCUGGUGUACAAGCUGGGAAGGGUUCGACUGUUGGUCGAUUAAAGUGGUACGUGAGUUGGGUUCAAUACGACGUGAGUCAGUAUGGUCCCUAUCUUCUGGUGGGACAUAUAGAACACAAAGAACAUCUGGUUAGUACGAAAGGACCAUCAGGUGCACAUCUCUGGUGUAUCUGCUAUUUGUUGCGUUUUUAGGAACGUUAAUGGUAUCGUAGAGUAGCUACAUGUGUUAAGGAUAAGAUCUGAAAGCAUAUAAGAUCGAAGCUGUUAUUUAGAAGCUAGCAAGCGACAGGAUGUAGACCACGUCCUUGAUAGGUCACAUGUGUAAGCGUUGCAAGGCGUCAGCUGAGUGAUACUAAUGAGUCGCUAGACUUGAUGAUACCACA